ACCUCCUCGAACAGUCUGCAAGAAGGUCUGCUGAAGUUGUGAAGAAAGUAUGAUCACUGUAACCAUGCUGAAGGUAGUAUUUGUGCUUGGAUGUCUCCUGAGCCUCACUCUGGCUCAUCCUAUGGACAUGGAGCACAAACGACUUGCUCGGUCUAGCUCUUACUCCAAUGAGCGUUACUACUACCGGCCAAUGGCAUAUCCAGACCUUUUCCAGUACAUUCUUGCCCUUUACCGCCUCCAACAAUCUGUUACUGCACCGCCUGCUUCAACUACUACUACAAAGUAAAAUCUGAAAUGUAACUAGAGAUGAAUGAAAACCAGUACUGAAUGACAUACUUUCGACAUCAGCUUUGUUUUGUGUCAGUUUGUCAUGACAGCUGUUUCUUUCUCUUUUGAAAUUUAAAUUAUGUUGUCUUAUCUAGAGUGUUGUUGCACAUUAUUCUAGUUCAAUUAAACACGAGGAUCAAAAUCAGUGUAUUCUCUGUAGUAUGAGCAAAAUAAACUUCAUAA
Micropterus salmoides (largemouth bass) is the source of this 510-nucleotide long non-coding RNA. RefSeq lists it as uncharacterized. The transcript has 4 exons. The record is from RefSeq and is a predicted model, not a curated record. NCBI's taxonomy places the organism in Eukaryota, Metazoa, Chordata, Actinopteri, Centrarchiformes, Centrarchidae.